Molecule: ribosomal RNA, 394 nt
Filed under: uncultured bacterium
Lineage: Bacteria
Description: bacterial SSU rRNA
Rfam family: Bacterial small subunit ribosomal RNA
Source: RNAcentral
GAUGAACGCUGGCGGCGUGCCUAAUACAUGCAAGUCGAACGAGGUCCUUGCCUUCGGGUGAGGUCCUAGUGGCGAACGGGUGAGUAACACGUUGGUGACCUGCCCCGAAGAGGGGGACAACCCCGGGAAACUGGGGCUAAUACCCCAUGUGAUCCAGAGAGUUAGAGGUCUUUGGAUGAAAUGGAGCAAUCCGCUUCGGGAGGGGCCUGCGGCCUAUCAGCUAGUUGGUAGGGUAACGGCCUACCAAGGCGACGACGGGUAGGGGGCCUGAGAGGGUGAUCCCCCACACUGGAACUGAAACACGGACCAGACACCUACGGGUGGCAGCAGUAGGGAAUAUUGCCCAAUGGACGAAAGUCUGAGGCAGCAACGCCGCGUGCGCGAUGAAGGCCUU